ACAUCUCAAAAGGCUCUGAAGAAAUUAAGUAUGAACUUGUGUGCAGAAAGGAUUAACUUAUAAAUAAUAACUAAUGGAUACAGUUAUCUUCUUUAUCUGUAUUUCUUUUCAUACAAUGGUUCACGGCUUGAACUAGGAAGAGCUGCAAAGUCAUUGGACAAAGUCAGGUGAGCGCCGAUUUUUCAAAUUCACUCUCAGCACUGUAAUUGGCUAAUAGCCUUGUCGCUGAGAAAUGGUGAGUUCUGAUUGGUUGAUUCGAUCAGAAGGCGGGUCAUCAACAGUUGCUCUGAUUCCGACCGACAGGCAGCAGCAGCUCAACAUACUCGUAAUGUUUCUGGAAAAUAGUAUCCGCCAGCUUUAUCGAAGGUAAGAUCAAUUUUCUCUGUAUGAGUUUCUUAGUUAGCGCUUUCUUGCCUUGAUUAUGUGUGAUUUUGUAAUUAGCCAAAGUAGCUCACACUGUUACCAACAACUACGCUUGCUAGAAAAGUAUCGUUUUUCCGACUAAAUGUGCUCAAAUAUGGACAUGCUAUAUGGCGUUGGAAAGCGUAGAACCUCCUGACUUUCAUGGUGAUAUUUAUUUCACACUCCGGACCACUUAUUUUCGCUGCGCGAUCGCGUCGAGGCAAACGUCAGCUGUUAGCAACGUUGUUAGCUUUGUGAGCACCAGAAUCGCACAUUCAAUUUGUUUGUGGGGAUAUGGGUGAUGUUAAGAGUUAGUUUUUGGAUUAGAAAGAGCCUUAACAUUUUAAGCACUAACAAUAAUAAUAUCCAACAAAACUUUUAGUUAUUUUGAUAAUAGUGGUGUUUCAGCUUUGUACUUCCCCUCAUUAAACAUACCUGUACUUUGCUUGAUUGUUUGCAUAGAAACAAGAAGAUGAGGGAAAAAAGAGACCACAUGCAUCAUCUGUGCACACCCAGCACCCAGGAAUGUAAGUUAAUUCUAUCAUUCCUUAUACUGAGUAAACGUUACCACUUUUGUGUAGUAUUUUUUGUGACUAUGUUUGGAUUUACUAUAGAUAAUUUUCUUUUUUCCAUCUUCAUUUUCAGGUCUGAUUUCUCUGUUCUGCACCAGCCUUAUGCAUGCCCCUCUGAACUCAAGAAAAGAUCCUGGCUUCUGCAUCCAGCCCCAUUUGGUCCACAACUCUACCCCAGGCCUGCUCUCUCCCUCAGCCAAGUGGAGUCCCUACAAAACGUGGUGCACAACUGGAGACAGGACAAAGAUUUCACCUGAUGCCACGUGACGACGAGCUCAAGCACACGCAUUUUAAAACAGAAGAAAGGAAAAAUGGACAUCAAGCAGACGUGACCGCAGAUCAUCUUUACAGUUUACAAUAUGAAGAUUUACCAAGAUGAACACAAAACAUCCAGAACAGAAGGUUAACAAAUCAACUUUCCUGGACGAAUGGACAGUUACUUUUGGGCAAUGCUGGAAAAGUCCUGAAGGAAAAAACUUUGGAAGAGAAGAGUGAGUACUUCUCUGCAAGGCUAACAUCACCUGUUAGACUGCUACCCUGCCUGUGGGUAGGAUCGACAGCAGUGGUCUCCAACCUGAAUUCCUUGGUGAGCUACUUUUAUUUAACAAAAAUGAUAGAGCUAAUCUACAUAUCGAUGCCCUAUGUGACUUUGGUGGGGUAUUGAGGAUAUUUAAAAAACAAUUAAAGAAAAAUAACUUGAGUUUACUCAAUGCUUAUGCUUCACUGUAUUUAGUUAAUUGUUAGCAGAAAGUGUCUACACGCACACACACUUUGUCAGAGAUGGUACUUUUUUAUUUUAAGUCUAAUUAUUCUACUCUGUUGUAACCUCAUUAACUUAACACUUAAGUGUCAGACAGAGCUGAUGUGAAAGUUCAACCCCAAAUUAAGGUCUUGUUGCACAGUUCAAUAUGAAAUGCACCAUUUGAAUGUUUUAUUGCAUUGACGACUGUCUGUAGCCCUCUUGUUCACACUUCAAUGUGGCUUCAGUGAAAAAGUUUUAUUUAUUUCUGCAAUAUUUGUUGUCUUGCAUGUAUUAAAUAAAUGCAUCAUUUGCAAAUAAAGUAAGAUUUAAUAUUUUUUUCUCUAUCAUAGCCUGUGUAGACCUAGUUCUGGUAAAGUAAUAGCUAAUGCAAGUUAGUGUAUUUUUAUAAACUAAAAAUGAGACUAAAAGUAUACUGCUAGUAAACUAAGAGUAUAAAAGAAGGUUACUUUAAAG
Long non-coding RNA from Neogobius melanostomus (round goby), 2190 nucleotides. The record is from Ensembl. NCBI's taxonomy places the organism in Eukaryota, Metazoa, Chordata, Actinopteri, Gobiiformes, Gobiidae.